UGUACAAAAAAAAAAAAAAAAAAAAAAAAAAACAUAAAAAACAUAAAUCGACGGAACAUUUUUCAUUGCUGUAGGCCACAUGUGAACGGUUCUUAUAUAUACA
This 103-nucleotide non-coding RNA is filed under the name Stygamoeba regulata. The record is from RNAcentral. Lineage: Eukaryota; Discosea; Stygamoebida.